Non-coding RNA from Oreochromis niloticus (Nile tilapia), 114 nucleotides. The record is from Rfam. NCBI's taxonomy places the organism in Eukaryota, Metazoa, Chordata, Actinopteri, Cichliformes, Cichlidae.
GUUGGUUAUGGAGACAUGCAUCCGGUCACUAUUGGUGGUAAAAUAGUGGGCUCUCUGUGCGCAAUAGCAGGAGUGCUGACCAUUGCCUUACCCGUGCCAGUGAUUGUGUCCAAC